UACAGGGGGUGCAAACGUUGCUCGGAAUCAUUGGGCGUAAAGCGCACGUAGGCGGUUCGUUAUGUCGGAUGUGAAAGCCCUUGGCUUAACCGAGGAAGUGCAUCCGAAACUGGCGAGCUAGAGUACGAAAGAGGAUCGCGGAAUUCCCGGUGUAGAGGUGAAAUGCGUAGAUAUCAGGAGGAACACCGGUGGCGAAGGCGGGUCUCUGGGCCGAUACUGACGCUGGAGGAGCGAAAGCGUGGGGAGCGAACAGG
Molecule: ribosomal RNA, 254 nt
Filed under: uncultured bacterium
Lineage: Bacteria
Description: partial 16S ribosomal RNA
Rfam family: Bacterial small subunit ribosomal RNA
Source: RNAcentral